RNAcentral lists this ribosomal RNA (497 nucleotides) under uncultured bacterium. Its description in RNAcentral is "partial 16S ribosomal RNA". It matches the Rfam family "Bacterial small subunit ribosomal RNA", at positions 28 to 507 of the family's 1533-position model. The record is from RNAcentral.
GAUGAACGCUGGCGGCGUGCCUAAUACAUGCAAGUCGAGCGAACAGACGAGGAGCUUGCUCCUCUGACGUUAGCGGCGGACGGGUGAGUAACACGUGGAUAACCUACCUAUAAGACUGGGAUAACUUCGGGAAACCGGAGCUAAUACCGGAUAAUAUAUUGAACCGCAUGGUUCAAUAGUGAAAGACGAUAUUGCUGUCACUUAUAGAUGGAUCCGCGCCGCAUUAGCUAGUUGGUAAGGUAACGGCUUACCAAGGCAACGAUGCGUAGCCGACCUGAGAGGGUGAUCGGCCACACUGGAACUGAGACACGGUCCAGACCCCUACGGGAGGCAGCAGUAGGGAAUCUUCCGCAAUGGGCGAAAGCUUGACGGAGCAACGCCGCGUGAGUGAUGAAGGUCUUCGGAUCGUAAAACUCUGUUAUUAGGGAAGAACAAAUGUGUAAGUAACUAUGCACGUCUUGACGGUACCUAAUCAGAAAGCCACGGCUAACUACGUG